Molecule: ribosomal RNA, 702 nt
Filed under: uncultured crenarchaeote
Lineage: Archaea; Thermoproteati; Thermoproteota
Description: bacterial SSU rRNA
Rfam family: Archaeal small subunit ribosomal RNA
Source: RNAcentral
GCUAUCGGGGUGGGACUAAGACAUGCGAGUUGAGCGUUUCUAGCUAUGUUGAGACGCAGCAUACGGCUCAGUAACACGUGGCUAACCUACCCUCAGGACAGGGACAAACCCGGGAAACUGGGGCUAAUACCAGAUAGGCGAGGACUCCUGGAAUGGUUCCUCACCCAAAGGACCUUGGAAACAUGCUUCCAAGUCGCCUGGGGAUGGGGCCGCGUCCGAUCAGGUUGUUGGUGAGGUAACGGCUCACCAAGCCUAUAACCGGUACGGGCCGUGAGAGCGGUAGCCCGGAGAUGGGCACUGAGACAAGGGCCCAGGCCCUACGGGGCGCAGCAGUCGCGAAAACUCCGCAAUGCACGAAAGUGUGACGGGGCUACCCCGAGUGCCGUCCGCUGAGGAUGGCUUUUCCUCGGUGUAACUAGCCGGGGGAAUAAGGAGAGGGCAAGACUGGUGUCAGCCGCCGCGGUAAUACCAGCUCUCCGAGUGGUAGGGAUGAUUAUUGGGCUUAAAGCGUCCGUAGCUGGCUUAGCAAGUCUCCUGUUAAAUUCAGCGACCUAAUCGUUGAGCCGCGGGAGAUACUACUAGGCUAGGAGGCGGGAGAGGUCGACGGUACUUUCGGGGUAGGGGUGAAAUCCUAUAAUCCCGGGAGGACCACCAGUGGCGAAGGCUGUCGACUAGAACGCGCUCGACGGUGAGGGACGAAAG